GUUAACGUAGCAUAACCCGGCAUUGCAAAAGACCUAAACCCUUUUUGUAGAGAUUCAAGUCCUCUCGUUAACU
Molecule: transfer RNA, 73 nt
Filed under: Osteocephalus deridens
Lineage: Eukaryota; Metazoa; Chordata; Amphibia; Anura; Hylidae
Description: tRNA-Leu
Rfam family: tRNA
About the family: Transfer RNA (tRNA) molecules are approximately 80 nucleotides in length. Their secondary structure includes four short double-helical elements and three loops (D, anti-codon, and T loops).
Source: RNAcentral